This 418-nucleotide ribosomal RNA is filed under the name uncultured bacterium. RNAcentral's name for it is "bacterial SSU rRNA". It matches the Rfam family "Bacterial small subunit ribosomal RNA", at positions 355 to 796 of the family's 1533-position model. The record is from RNAcentral.
UGGGGAAUAUUGGACAAUGGGCGCAAGCCUGAUCCAGCCAUGCCGCGUGAGUGAUGAAGGCCCUAGGGUUGUAAAGCUCUUUUGUGCGGGAAGAUAAUGACGGUACCGCAAGAAUAAGCCCCGGCUAACUUCGUGCCAGCAGCCGCGGUAAUACGAAGGGGGCUAGCGUUGCUCGGAAUCACUGGGCGUAAAGGGUGCGUAGGCGGGUCUUUAAGUCAGGGGUGAAAUCCUGGAGCUCAACUCCAGAACUGCCUUUGAUACUGAAGAUCUUGAGUUCGGGAGAGGUGAGUGGAACUGCGAGUGUAGAGGUGAAAUUCGUAGAUAUUCGCAAGAACACCAGUGGCGAAGGCGGCAUCCUGGACCACACUGACGCUGAGGCGAAAGCAGGGGAGCAAACGGGAUUAGAUACCCGUAGUCC